UGGGGAAUAUUGCACAAUGGGCGCAAGCCUGAUGCAGCCAUGCCGCGUGUAUGAAGAAGGCCUUCGGGUUGUAAAGUACUUUCAGCGGGGAGGAAGGCGAUAAGGUUAAUAACCUUGUCGAUUGACGUUACCCGCAGAAGAAGCACCGGCUAACUCCGUGCCAGCAGCCGCGGUCAUACGGAGUGGGCAAGCGUUAAUCGGAAUUACUGGGCGUAAAGCGCACGCAGGCGGUCUGUCAAGUCGGAUGUGAAAUCCCCGGGCUCAACCUGGGAACUGCAUUCGAAACUGGCAGGCUAGAGUCUUGUAGAGGGGGGUAGAAUUCCAGGUGUAGCGGUGAAAUGCGUAGAGAUCUGGAGGAAUACCGGUGGCGAAGGCGGCCCCCUGGACAAAGACUGACGCUCAGGUGCGAAAGCGUGGGGAGCAAACA
RNAcentral lists this ribosomal RNA (427 nucleotides) under uncultured bacterium. Its description in RNAcentral is "partial 16S ribosomal RNA". It matches the Rfam family "Bacterial small subunit ribosomal RNA", at positions 355 to 774 of the family's 1533-position model. The record is from RNAcentral.